AGCUUUUUGUUUUAAACCCAUUUCACAAUUCUGAUUAUACUGUGGGGACGAAAGUCUCUGCUUUUAACUAGAUAGCAACUUUCAGCAGUGGAUGUCUAGGCUCGCACAUCGAUGAAGAACGCUGCGAACUGCGAUACGUAAUGCGAAUUGCAGGAUUCAGUGAGUCAUCGAAAUUUUGAACGCAUAUUGCACUUCCGGGUUAGUCCUGGGAGUAUGCCUGUAUCAGUGUCCGUACAUCAAACUUGGCUUUCUUCCUUCCGUGUAGUCGGUGGAGGAUGUGCCAGAUGUGAAGUGUCUUGCGUGUUGUCCUUCGGGUCGACUGCGAGUCCUUUUAAAUGUACUGAACUGUACUUCUCUUUGCUCGAAAAGCGUGGUGUUGCUGGUUGUGGAGGCUGCCUGCGUGGCCAGUCGGCGACCGGUUUGUCUGCUGCGGCGUUUNAAGGAGGAGUGUUCGAUUCGCGGUAUGGUUGGCUUCGGCUGAACAGGCGCUUAUUGAAUGCUUUUCCUGCUGUGGCGUGAUGGGCUGGUGAACCGUAGCUGUGUUUGGCUUGGCUUUUGAAUCGGUUUUGCU
RNAcentral lists this ribosomal RNA (571 nucleotides) under Phytophthora capsici. RNAcentral describes it as "eukaryotic LSU rRNA". The stretch from base 77 to 231 matches the Rfam family "5.8S ribosomal RNA". Lineage: Eukaryota; Oomycota; Peronosporomycetes; Peronosporales; Peronosporaceae. The record is from RNAcentral.